This 1214-nucleotide ribosomal RNA is filed under the name Acinetobacter calcoaceticus. RNAcentral describes it as "bacterial SSU rRNA". It matches the Rfam family "Bacterial small subunit ribosomal RNA", at positions 56 to 1264 of the family's 1533-position model. The record is from RNAcentral. Lineage: Bacteria; Pseudomonadati; Pseudomonadota; Gammaproteobacteria; Moraxellales; Moraxellaceae.
UGCAAGUCGAGCGGAGUGAUGGUGCUUGCACUAUCACUUAGCGGCGGACGGGUGAGUAAUGCUUAGGAAUCUGCCUAUUAGUGGGGGACAACAUUUCGAAAGGAAUGCUAAUACCGCAUACGUCCUACGGGAGAAAGCAGGGGAUCUUCGGACCUUGCGCUAAUAGAUGAGCCUAAGUCGGAUUAGCUAGUUGGUGGGGUAAAGGCCUACCAAGGCGACGAUCUGUAGCGGGUCUGAGAGGAUGAUCCGCCACACUGGGACUGAGACACGGCCCAGACUCCUACGGGAGGCAGCAGUGGGGAAUAUUGGACAAUGGGCGCAAGCCUGAUCCAGCCAUGCCGCGUGUGUGAAGAAGGCCUUAUGGUUGUAAAGCACUUUAAGCGAGGAGGAGGCUACUGAAGUUAAUACCUUCAGAUAGUGGACGUUACUCGCAGAAUAAGCACCGGCUAACUCUGUGCCAGCAGCCGCGGUAAUACAGAGGGUGCAAGCGUUAAUCGGAUUUACUGGGCGUAAAGCGCGCGUAGGCGGCUAAUUAAGUCAAAUGUGAAAUCCCCGAGCUUAACUUGGGAAUUGCAUUCGAUACUGGUUAGCUAGAGUGUGGGAGAGGAUGGUAGAAUUCCAGGUGUAGCGGUGAAAUGCGUAGAGAUCUGGAGGAAUACCGAUGGCGAAGGCAGCCAUCUGGCCUAACACUGACGCUGAGGUGCGAAAGCAUGGGGAGCAAACAGGAUUAGAUACCCUGGUAGUCCAUGCCGUAAACGAUGUCUACUAGCCGUUGGGGCCUUUGAGGCUUUAGUGGCGCAGCUAACGCGAUAAGUAGACCGCCUGGGGAGUACGGUCGCAAGACUAAAACUCAAAUGAAUUGACGGGGGCCCGCACAAGCGGUGGAGCAUGUGGUUUAAUUCGAUGCAACGCGAAGAACCUUACCUGGCCUUGACAUAGUAAGAACUUUCCAGAGAUGGAUUGGUGCCUUCGGGAACUUACAUACAGGUGCUGCAUGGCUGUCGUCAGCUCGUGUCGUGAGAUGUUGGGUUAAGUCCCGCAACGAGCGCAACCCUUUUCCUUAUUUGCCAGCGAGUAAUGUCGGGAACUUUAAGGAUACUGCCAGUGACAAACUGGAAGGAAGGCGGGGACGACGUCAAGUCAUCAUGGCCCUUACGGCCAGGGCUACACACGUGCUACAAUGGUCGGUACAAAGGUUGCUACCUAGCGAUAGG